Long non-coding RNA from Junco hyemalis (dark-eyed junco), 755 nucleotides. NCBI's taxonomy places the organism in Eukaryota, Metazoa, Chordata, Aves, Passeriformes, Passerellidae. The record is from Ensembl.
GCCUGAGGGCUCUGAGGGCAGGUGAGAGAUCUGACUGCUGGGAGGCAUCUGAGCUCAUUGCAGAGCUGUUAACUUAAUCUUCUGGAAGGGGUGGAAGCAAGGGAGGUUUCCACCACCUACACUAGAGCUGGCAGGGCCUGCAGCUCCACAACCCAACUUCUUUCUGCCUCUGGAGAAGCCUUUGUGACUCCUGGGAAGUCAUGGCCUUCGCAGCACACGGGUUCCUGCAGAGCCGUCUUACCAGCUUGAAGAUGAAUAUCUGAAGCUCUGCAAGACAGAUUAAAGCACAGGCACCAGCAGUGCACGCAAAGAAUCUAUUCCCAGGACCAUGAAAGGAUGCCAAGCCAUUCUGCUUUCAAUUACAUCACCCAGGUGGGAAUUCCCCUGCUUCUAUUGUCAAGGUUGAGAGGUGAAGUGGAAACGGAACAGCGGCGUGAGAGGAAGUUGGGCAAAGAAUCAUCAGCAAGAGAGAGACAAAACACAACAGAAGUUAACUGGCAUACAGGCACUGGAGCUGCAGGUGGCAUUUCUGGGAAUCUUUUUGGCACACAGGUGAGUUUUCAGGUAGGUGAAGGCUGGACAUGUGGGGAAAGACAGUGGAGCUCCAAUGCCAGAGCAAGAAGCAAACAGGGAGCCCUGGGAAGAGGCAACCUAAUCUCUGCCACCAAUCCUCCUCUGCAAGGGGCAUCCAGGGUGCUCUGGGCGGCUGAGCAGGAGUGUAGGGUGGGGAGGGAUUUCUGGCUGCCGGCAAAAGC